GUGAGGAAAAAGAAGAGCAGCUGAGCAGGUAAAGGAUUCAGAGGUAUGGGGUUUGCUUGAAGUCGGAGAUAUCCUUUUAAAUCAUUUAUUAAACUCUUCGUGCUUCCCUAAGAACUUCACAAAUUUUAGGUGUACUUCUCAGUUAUUUUUGCCUUUAUUUUGUUUAUUAAUACAGUUAUUUAAUGGUUCAAAUUUUUCUUUUUGUCAAAUAGUUAUUUAAGAUAAAUUGAUGUAUUUAAGUAAAAAAUUCAUUACCGCACCUAAGAAGCACAAAUCUGUUAAUUAAACGAAAAUUGUAUGGAAGAAGGAAAAAAAAUCAUCAUAAAAAAAGAAAGGAAAAUAUUCUCUUUUUUUUUUGUAAAUGGAAAUUAAAGUUUGGGAUUGAGUAGUUAUCUCUUCUUUCUUAAAAUAUAAGACAAGGAGUAUCAUCUCAAAUUUGAUCGAAUCCUACUGUUUCCCUAUUUGGUUUUAUCCGAAUUACCCAUGCAUUGUCUAUACCACCACACACAUGCAUGUUUAACAUAUACAGUUUUUUGUUUGGUUUGGGUUUUUUUUUUUUUUUUUUUUUUAAAGCUNNNNNNNNNNNNNNNNNNNNNNNNNNNNNNNNNNNNNNNNNNNNNNNNNNNNNNNNNNNNNNNNNNNNNNNNNNNNNNNNNNNNNNNNNNNNNNNNNNNNAAUUAUAAUUUUUUCUGUAUGGACUGACUGCACUAAGUAAAUACUUAGUCUUUCAUAUUACUUACAGCUGCUGUAUAUUACAAUCCAUAAACAACUUAGGAACAAAGCUUGUUCUAUGAGAAUUUCUUUCUCAUAUUUCUAUGGUACGUUGAUACCUUUAUCCAGUGAUCCAUUUGCUGCUUACUACACCAUUAUUUCUUUAGUAAAUAUCCAGACAAAAUCAAACUUGAUUUUCUGUAGUAGCAUCCACCAUAUAGGAGCAUAUCUCUUUAUAAAUUGUUCAUUGGUCCUUGUGAGUAUCCUUGUGUAAUCAAGCUAUACUUGAACGUUAUUUAGAAGGAACAUGAACACACUAUACCAUGUGGUCAUGUCUUUUAAUCUCACAGAAUUUCUUAUCUCACAAGAUCCAUUCACUGAUUUCUUUCUUAGAUGGCUUUUCUGUAUGUACAUAGUUACUACGCUCAUCUGUCUUAUAAUUACUUUGAAUUCUUUGAACACCCCACGUCCCUAUAUAGGUUUUAUGAGUACUCUACGUGGGUUCAUGAUCCUCAGGUUAUAUCCUUCAAAUCCCAAGUACUACAAUCUUUUAUGAGCUCUUAUGUAUGUAAAUACAUCUUUGGUGUUAACACUCUUUAUCUUUAGUUUCAUACUGUUCCAGACAUGAUCUAAUUAGAUUUUGAGAUCUUAUUAUCCAAGACCUUUAUACCUUGCAGUUUGGCGUCCCAAACUACAUGGUCUGGUACCUUAGAUGUGUGGUUGCGCAACCUUAUUUCUCUGUCUGAACUGGUUUCUCUUAUGAACUCGGAUUUGUACGAUUCUGAGCACCUUUCAUUACUUUCCGAGGUUCCUUAUUAUUUGGAACUUAUUUGUCUAUCUCUAAUAGACAUUGUAGCAACUUGAUUGUGUCUCUUAGACAUCUAAUUCGUGGUGCUUAAGCUGGUAUGACAUAGUCAUUUUUUCUUUUCGGGUCAGUGUGUCUGGCAUAUAUUUCUGCUAGCUUUUAUAUCUUUUGAUCAUAUUCUUUUAGAACGUCUAGAUCAUAAUCUUUGGUCUGAGGAUCUUGCCAAGACAACUAUGGUUGAUACCAUUAUAUUUCUCUUUUACUCUUUACUCUUUAUCAGCCUGAUAACUUUCUCCUUUCAAAGUUGGAUAAUCAGAUUACUAUCUUUUGUAAUCUGUGUUCUUGGCCACUUGAUUAAAUCAUCCAUGUUUGGCACAAGAUACAUUAUAGUUUCGUGGAGGAAGUCUUAUUUAUCUAAUAUAUAUUCCCAAUCCUCAUCUGAGGUUCCAUCUUAAAUGGCACACAUAUAUGUGGUGGAAUAUUCGUAUUUUCUUAAGAUGGUUUGUGUAUAUGUCUGGUUUAUGACCCUUAAUCAUUCAGAGGUGGGAAUGUCUAUGCUUACAUGUAUGGCCUGAUGUAAAUCAAUAUUUAUAUACAUAAUGUCCUUAAGCUUUAGGCUGGACGUGGGUGAUGUACCAUUAGUGAGAGCUUUAAAGCUUUCCAGCCGUGUAUAUUAUGGUUGUAAACCAUGGAAUCCGAAUUUAUGAUAUGAUCAUGGACUGUGGGUUUUAGUCCUCUCUCCCCCUCAUGAACAUACUCAUAAUUUCGUAGUGCUUAGGACAGUGGAGCCUUAAUUAUUUUAGUGAUUUUCCCUUUUGUGUACUUAUAACACAUUGUGAGAUUUUAUGGGAUCACUUUUGUGCCUUAAUUAAUUUUUCAUCAUGUUUUGGAUCAAGAUGGCUAAUCUGGUCAUGCCAUAAGUGUUUAUUUCGUGGUGAACCAUACUGGUUACCAUGGCUUUAUGCCUCUUUCAUACUGAUCCUUAGCAUAGAAUAAAUCAGUAGAAAAUAUGGGUAUAGGCAUUCAUAAUGCUUUUAGGCGAUUUUUCAAAAAUCUGAAAGGAAUCGUAUUUUCUUUGCUCACUGGUUCAAUGUAGAAUGUUAUAAAUCUUUAUAACUCAAUGGGUCUGAAUAAUGUCGUGUCUUUUGCCAUUGUCAGUACCAAUUAAUUGAUUUCAAGUGAUUGUAGGAAGGUAAAGUUGAACCUAUACAAUCAAGAUGAAGUUAAAUCUAUGCGAGAAAUCAAUCUAUCAGUGAACUGACUCAUUAGUCUACACCCAACAAUUGAUUUUAUGUGAUUGCAGGAAGGUAAAGUUAAACCUAUACAAUCAAGGUAAAGUUAAACCAUGCAUGAAAUCAACUAUCAGUGGACUGAUUAUCCUUUUAUUAAGGUUUUAUUUGUUAUUUAAUCAAGAAUCAUCAAGCAAGACCAAGCAAGAUAAUAUAUAAAAACAAAAUCGUUUUUAUUAUUUCAAUAACAUAAAUGAAUAACAAAUAAAUCAAAUCAGAUAUGAAAACAUAAAAUCAGAAUGUCGGAAAAUUAUUCAAUGUAUAAUCCGACCUCAUGGUCCAUGAGUGUCCACUCGGAAUCCUCCUCAGAUCUCUUCUUAUCAAAUGUGGCUUUAUUAGCUUCAGGGAUUUUCAUCUCACUGUCUAGUAUUUCAUAAUAUAUCUCCAUGAUGUCAUUAAACCGUCUGAUGUUAUCCAUCCUUUUCUGCUUCUUUUGCUCAAUGUCUAAUAAAUAUGAGAACAUGUCAUAAUAGGUGGUGAAACCUUUGGCCUGAUGUGAUAACAACACUUCCUCUGAAUGGAAUGUGUCACGAGUUUUGUUUAACAAAUCCUCGUUUGUUACCAAUUCACCACAUAGUCUAAGACUAUAGGUGAUUCUCAUAAGAUCAGAGUGAUAAUUGUCCACGGAUUCAUAAUCCUGGAACCUUAGAGCUUCCCAUUUUUUCUUGGAUUCGUGCAACAAUGGCUCACAGAAUCUAGAAUUCAAAAAUGACCAGAGAUUAUGAGGAUCAUUAACAUAUCCAAACUCGUCUCUUAGGUCCUCACAGAGAUGGUGUCGCAUAAUCAUUAUGGCUCUGUGUCUUUCACACGCAAGGGUGUCAUUGCCAUACUUGAUGCACUUCCCAAGUCCUCUAGACUUCAAGACGGCUGAAGUGUUUAUAGCCCAAUCAAGAUAAUUAUCUCCAGAGAGAUCAAGGGCUUUGUAAUCUGAGGGUAUGAAACUCGACAUCUGAAAUCAUUAUUCAAAACAGGUCUUAAUCAAGUAAUCUUUUUGAAAUUUUUCAUGCUUCAUAUCAAUGCCACACACGGACCAAAAGAAAAAAAAUUUCUAAAUGAUGCAUUUUCUUAAAACCAUACGGUUUAAGGUGUGGAUCAAUGUAUUUUUCAGAUUUAAGGUCCUCUUAUUUCAAACACAAGGUUUCAAGGCCUUUAGGGAUUCUAUCUUAGAUGAUCAGGAAAAUGUUCCAUAUUUUUUUCAUCCCAUUGGAUCGGAUCAUUUAGUAUAAUGAUUUUUUUUUUUAGUUCAGAUCAGAUUGCUUGAAAACUAUGAAUGAUCUAUAUCCCUAACAGUCGAGAUUUCAUGUUCAGUAUGCAAUAUUAGUAUGCAAACAAUAUGCAAUCAAGCAAACCAAUUCAAUCAUGAAAUCAGGUUAGGGUUUUCGAAAAAUAUACCAUAUAUUUAUUAUUAUUUUUUUCGAAAAAUAAUCAAAUCAGAAAUUAUUGUGACUUAAAAAAAAAAAAUCAGGAAGAUUUGAUUUAUUCAAGCAAUUUAUUAUAUAUUUUUCGGUUUAAAAAUAAAUAUAUUUUCUCAGAUAUAUCUCUGAUAUUUCGAUUUUAAAUAUUAAAAAAAUAUUUUUUUCAAUCCUAAUCAAGUUCUAGUCGUUAUCAAUCAUCAGGAAAACAAAUUUCUCAGACAAGAACAGGAGGUAAAACCUCGGAUUAAUUUAUGAAAACAUGAUCAGAUUUUCAAAAAAAAAAAUUAUGUAACAUGCAGUCCUUAACAGUUCUAGUUGAUUCAGAUCAGAUAAGAACAUUAAACAGGACAAUAAUGAUAAGUUUAAGCAAGUAACAGUCGGUUUCUUUCAACAUAUAGCAAUCAGAUUUUUUUUAAAAAAUUGUUUAACUUUCAAUCCUAAACAGUUCUAAUGUGAAACUAUCAUCAGGAAAGUUUUAAACAAUUUUAAAAUCAGUUUCAGAUUAAGAACAUGUUCAAAACAAGUUCAGGUUCGAGAUUUUAAAGAGUUUAUGGUUUCCGGUUUUAUUUUAUUUGCAUAGACAUGUUGCUAAAUAUAGCUACAUGGCUGCGGAUGGGAGUAUUUAAUACUUUAUGGGUUUUAGAUGAGUUUUCGAUGAUACCUGAAAACUUUUGAUGGGUUGAUCGGUCUAUCAGUUAGAGAUCUUCCUGGUUAGCUGAUGGAUUGCUUGGAAUUAUUGUUUUUGUUGCUGCUUGUUGGAAUAGGAGACUGGUAUAUGGUUGAGAGAGAUUUUGGUUUCUGGAACAAAUUUUCCGCCUGUAUUGUAGCUGAGCGUGGGGGCGCGUCCGAACUCCGAUUGAUACGGGGUUAGCGGCGUUGGCUUCGUCUCGUCAAGAGCUUUAAUUUGGUAUCUGGCUCGUCGUCUGGAUCCACCGGAGUUGAGGGAUAGAGCUGUUUGAAGUUCGUCGGGAAUUAUGGUUUUUACUGCUCGGAUUUAUUUCUGGUUUUUAGGGUUAGGGUUUAUGAGAGCAACGUCGUGCUGAUAACGUGUUGUAAAUGAAGUGUUGGGAAAAUACUUNNNNNNNNNNNNNNNNNNNNNNNNNNNNNNNNNNNNNNNNNNNNNNNNNNNNNNNNNNNNNNNNNNNNNNNNNNNNNNNNNNNNNNNNNNNNNNNNNNNNNNNNNNNNNNNNNNNNNNNNNNNNNNNNNNNNNNNNNNNNNNNNNNNNNNNNNNNNNNNNNNNNNNNNNNNNNNNNNNNNNNNNNNNNNNNNNNNNNNNNNNNNNNNNNNNNNNNNNNNNNNNNNNNNNNNNNNNNNNNNNNNNNNNNNNNNNNNNNNNNNNNNNNNNNNNNNNNNNNNNNNNNNNNNNNNNNNNNNNNNNNNNNNNNNNNNNNNNNNNNNNNNNNNNNNNNNNNNNNUAUAUAUAUCUGGUGAGACUUGAUGUUAAUUUGCUAGAGAUAUCAUGGUACACCAAAAACCAAAAGAUUAAAUCUAAAAGAUAUGCAUGUAUUAUGUAACUUUGUGAGGUAAACAUUAUAAAAUCCUUGAAUAUAUUAACUUAAUUAGUUGAAAAAUUUACCAUCGGAAAAUUUCAUCACAUAUACUAUGUAAUGGUGUAGUCAAGGACGUGAGAUUUGGUAGUGAUCAAAUUGGUAUAUAGUGAUAUCACAUGUUUAGUCAUCGAAUACUUUUUCAAUAACGGUAUAAAUACGAAAAUUGUUGAGCACAUAUCCACAUUUGGAAUUUCAUACUUAGAAUUAUCUAGUUGUCAUGGAGUUGAAAGUAUUUGCUUUUUUUAUUUAAGGUAUUUGAUCAAAUAACCAAUGACAUCUCUUAAUGGAUGUAAACAUACCCAUCUAUGUAGAUAAAUAUGAUUAGGUUAACCAACUUAAAUAAGAAAUACUUCUUUCGGGAAAUCCGUUCCCGAAAGUAAGAUGUUUUAGAUUUUUUUCUUGUUCCACAAAGAUAAAUUUUCUAUAUUGUUAAGGUACUUUUUUAUAUUUUUGAAAAACAUUAAUUGAAAAUAUUUGAAUUGAUUAAAUUUUAUUGGUGAAAAGUUAUUGGAAAAUGUAUAAUAAAGUAAAAAAUAAAUUAAAUUAUAAACAUUUAUUAAAUUUUUAAUAAACGUACAUACUCUAGAAAAUCUUAUUUUCGGAAGUAUUAGUCAGCCAAAAGAGCUUAUAUAAGAAAUAUAAGUUUAUCUAAAAUAUUCAACACGGUUGGAUCGGCACGGUUGACAUGCUCUUUACGUUUGGAGUUACUUGACUGUGUUUUAACCGGACCGUAACUAACUGUAUACUAUUGGCGAUAACUUUACAUAUAAACAAACUAUAGUUUUAUUUAUAACAGGUUAAACUAAAAUAAUUUACCUGGUCUAAAAUAAAAUUCCAAAACAAACAAGAGAAAAUCGAAAAAGCAAUUAAAUUUUGUUUUUGAACACUCGAAAAAGUAAUUAAUGAAAAUAUAAUUCGUUUAUUUUUUGCACAUGAACUUUGGUAAUUUGGUCAUUUUCGAAAGAAAACGAAACAAAAAAGAGUUCUUAAGUUUAACAAGAAUUUUAUUAAAUCUGAAUAAAUCUAAUGAAAAAAAUAGGAACCAAACUUCAAUCCAAAGUUACCACUUCGAUAUGUAUCUUUAUUCCAAAAAUAUAAACAAAAUGGAAGCAAACUUAAAUCCAAAAGAUGUCACAUUUUCUUUGCAGGUUUCACCAAAAAAGAAGUAUCAGAAAAUGGGACUACAUGACCAACUAACUAUGUGUCUUAUAAGCAAAACAUACACGAUGUUCAAAAAAAAGAAGAAGCAAAGCAUGCACAUGCUUAACAGGAGGUCUAGAAUUACAUAUUUUGUGUCUUAUUGUCCAUCGAACUUUACGAAAAAUAAACUGCGUUUAAUAUCAGCUAGCCUAUUAAAAAGUGCGCAUUGGUGAAACAUAUUUUNNNNNNNNNNNNNNNNNNNNNNNNNNNNNNNNNNNNNNNNNNNNNNNNNNNNNNNNNNNNNNNNNNNNNNNNNNNNNNNNNNNNNNNNNNNNNNNNNNNNNNNNNNNNNNNNNNNNNNNNNNNNNNNNNNNNNNNNNNNNNNNNNNNNNNNNNNNNNNNNNNNNNNNNNNNNNNNNNNNNNNNNNNNNNNNNNNNNNNNNNNNNNNNNNNNNNNNNNNNNNNNNNNNNNNNNNNNNNNNNNNNNNNNNNNNNNNNNNNNNNNNNNNNNNNNNNNNNNNNNNNNNNNNNNNNNNNNNNNNNNNNNNNNNNNNNNNNNNNNNNNNNNNNNNNNNNGAUAAGAGAGAGUCUACCAUUCCUCAUGCUUCCAUUCCUAAAAAAUUUCUUGACACUUCCAAUCAACCUUUACACACUUGUUUAUUUAAAAGACCAAAUAACAAUUUUAUUUUUAAAAUAUAUAUUACGAAAAAUUAUCUAUGUUUCAGAAUUUUAAGUUUUGAGGAAAAUAAAUAUACUACUGAUGGUCUAAACCUUGGUUUGGUAAGUAUAUUCUUGUGGAGUCAGUCAAGACUUUCGUCUACGCAAACAAAUUGUCAUGAAAACCAUACUAGAAAGGUCGAUUAUAAAGUUAUGAAUGGAAGGGCAGGACAAGUGCAGUUCUCCUGCAGGUGUAGUUUUUCCGCAAUACAUUUAUUUUCAUGACUAAUUACCGUUUCAAAUAUCUUACAUCCACUGGUAGAGAGUUUCCCGGUGGUAAAUUUAACCAAAAGUUCAAUAUUAGUGUAACCUACCGGUUUUCUCAAGAAAAUCUCGAUCACCUAAAAAGAAAAUAAAAGAAGUAUAAGUAUCUUAUAAAACAUUUACAGGCAUUUCGGCCGAUCCUAUAACAUCUAAGAUAUUUGUUUAGAUAUCUAGGUGUAAUUUUUAUUGUUUUAAUAUAUGAUCUAUAGUUUAGAACUGAUUUUGUCAUUCACAGGUUAUAAAUAAUUAUUUGAUCGGUUUGAUCUGCUUAUCUCCUGCAUGAUCCGCUUGAUCUGCACUUGUUCUGCUUGAUCUGCAUGAUCUGUUUGAUCUCCCGGUUGAACUGUUUUUACGUUUUGAAGCCUAAGUAUAAAACAGAUAGAUCCAAAAGCAAUCAGCCCCAACAAGGGCAACCGAAAAGAUAAGACGCCCGACAACUACACGCGUCCAAAGACUAGCGGGAGAGAAACACAUGUUAAUAUCUCAGCCUAAGGAGACCACGUGUCGCGAAAUCUUCCACCUCAUCACCGCUUUCGAGAAACAACGCCAGAUAACUGAACCGACGGUUUACCGGAAUCCACCAUAUCACACCGGAAUAACACCGGAACCUCGAACCUCCACCGUCUUCAUCGAGUUAGAAGACCACCGGACUCUACCGUGAAACUUGACCCCUACCACCGAAGAACACCUCCAACGAAUGUAUCGGAGGUUUUGGGGAAUCAGACAGCUGCAACGCACAUGACAGAGCUUCGGAGAGCGUCAAUCGAUUUAAAUCGAGAUCUCAUCCAAACGAUUUCAUUAACCAGCCCCAUAAUCUUCGCUUCCUACCAACAAACUCCAAUUGUGAUUAAUCAUACGAAUGGGCUCCAACUAACAGCCCCACGAGAAGAUCAAUCGACCGUUGAAACAGAAGACAACCGGCGAUGAUCAGGUCCGGGAGAACUCGGUAAAGAGCCAACGACACCGCCAAGGCUACACCACCAGAUACCACCGCUGGAUAGUUUCACCUAAGAGAGCGCGAAACCACCAGAGUCUAAGCCGGCUACACAGCGUCAGAGAGACCGUCGUAUACCAGAGUCGAUAUUCGUUAACCGGAAAGGUAAGACAACGACGGAACCACCACGACUCUCUGUCUCUCAAAGGUUCUAGAGAGAUAAGAGAGAGUCUACCAUUCCUCAUGCUUCCAUUCCUAAAAAAUUUCUUGACACUUCCAAUCAACCUUUACACACUUGUUUAUUUAAAAGACCAAAUAACAAUUUUAUUUUAAAAAUAUAUAUUACAAAAAAAUUAUCUAUGUUUCGGAAUUUUAAGUUUUGAGGAAAAUAAAUAUACUACUGAUGGUCUAAACCUUGGUUUGGUAAGCAUAUUCUUGUGGAGUCAGUGAAGACUUUCGUCUACGCAAACAAAUUGUCAUGAAAACCAUACUAGAAAGGUCGAUUAUAAAGUUAUGAAUGGAAGGGCAGGACAAGUGCAGUUCUCCUGCAGGUGUAGUUUUUCCGCAAUACAUUUACCAUUCACGUUUAUCUGUUUGCAAAAGCAGUUUAAGCGGGAGAUCUGCAUGCAGAUCAAUAUUUUUGUCUUUUUGUGAAAAAAGCGGGAGAUCUGCAUGCAGAUCUCAUCCGCUAACAUUUGGUGGUGUUGAUCUGCUUUUUUUUUUCUUUUUGAUAAUAAAUAAUUUUGUUACUAAAAUAUAUUUAUCUGAUUUAUAAAUAAUGUACAAUGAUUAGCUCAAACUAUAUAGUUUACACUAAUAUUGUUUGUGUUGUUUUAAAAUUAUAAGCAUGACGUUCAAUCGCCGACAAAACACAACAAUUUCAAAGGAAAAAGAUAUAAAUCUUCCUACAUAAAUAUCAACAAGGGUAAGUAGUUAAUAUUGUUUCUGUUUUAAAAUAGUUAAUAUAUAGGUAAAUGAUUGAAAUUUUGUAAAUCUAUUGAGAGAAGACAAUUUCAAUAUUAGUGUAGUCUACCGGUUCUCUCAAGAAAAUCUUGAUCACCUAAAAAGAAAAUAAAAGAAGUAUAAGUAUCUUAUAAAAUAUUUACUGGCAUUUCGGCCGAUCCUAUAACAUCUAAGAUAUUUGUUUAGAUAUCUAGGUGUAAUUUUUAUUGUUUUAAUAUAUGAUCUAUAGUUUAGAACUGAUUUUGUCAUUCACAGGUUAUAAUAAAUUAUUUGAUCGGUUUGAUCUGCUUAUCUCCUGGAUGAUACGCUUGAUCUGCACUUGUCAUGCUUGAUCUGCAUGAUCUGUUUGAUCUCCCGGUUGAACUGUUUUUACGUUUUGAAGCCUAAGUAUAAAACAGAUAGAUCCAAAAUGGAUUCUCGUGAUAUUUGUGUAUGUUGUUUUAGUUGGUUAAUAAAUUAAACCGUUGGAAGUAUCGCGAUAAAUUAUUUCACGGUAUUUUUUUGGGUAAAAGGUUGAUUUUUCACGUUUAUUUAGUUGCAUUCUAUACUUUACCCGUGCUGAACAACAUAGCUUUAUUGAAGAAUCGUGAUUUGUCCUCUUCUCUUGAAACUAGCUUAUGUAUGUUUAGUUAGAAAAUUGUUUAAUAUAUUGUUAUAUUUAUGUACUCCUCCAUUUGGAAUUCUUUGUUUACUAAUGAUUACCCAAGAAUCAUGGCAUGAUUUCAUUGGAAGGAAUGCUUUACAUUUUUUUUUCCAUCAGUAUAUUAUUACCAAAGACAAAAAGCUACAAGAGAGGCCACAGAUACAAGUUGAAACUAUUAUCAAACAAAAGAGAGACCACAAACGGCCCACCAUAAACACCCAAGAACGAGGCCCAAGAUUAAGGCCCGAAACAAAACCCCCCUCCCAAAUAAACACGUACACAACACGUGUACGACGAAGGAUAACGUGUCCGACGCAGAGGAAACCGUCUCAUGCCUCCACCAACCAAAUCUUACGCCGGCGCCCAAACCCAUCGGCGCCGUAUCAAACACCGUCUUCACCGGUUAACACAUCACCGGACCUAAUCAGUAACCACCGGAAUUCAACCGAACGAGGAGCCACACCAAUUCUUUCACCACUUUCACCGUUUCCAGAAACACAUCCCACCGACACCGGAGCCAAAUCGGGAAUACGAUUCUCCACCAUCUUUUCCGGCCUCAAACUUCUCCAUCGAUCCAAACAAAGCGAUCGAUCACCGGAUUCCACCGGGAACCAAAGCCGAAUGAUUUCGCUUAGAAGAUCGCGAAAACAUCGGAGUCAAAGCCAGAUACACCGCGUCAUAGAGACCACCGUGCACCAGAGUCAUUGUCGUGAACCCGAAAGGAGGAAAAAAACGGGACCACCGCGACUUUCUCUAUCUCUCGAGAAAUCUUAUGAGAGAAGGGAGAGAGAGUCUACCAUCCCGUCUUAUUCGCCUUCCAAUGAAAUAUAUGAUCUAUCCUGUCUAGUCUUCCCUCAAAGUGUCACCUGAAUGAAUACAAAUUGCUAACCAAUCCACAAUAAUGUGAAAUGUUAUGUAGGGAACGAACCUAGAGAGCAAGAGAUGAAAAUAAGGAAAGAAACCAUAUGUUUUUUUUUGUGCCGGAACCCAUAACUUUUUGGAUUAGGAACCUAGUCAAUUGCUUUAUUUUCUUUCCGUAACUAUUGAGAUUCAUAUUUAAUACUUUUAUCUUUAGGGCAGAAGGCUUCAUCCGUAGAGUUAACCGAUCCAGAAAACAUAUGUGAAGUGUGAGAUCUGCAUGCAGAUCUCAUCCGCUAACAUUUGGUGGUGUUGAUUUGCUUUUUUUUUUUUUUUUUUUUUUGUGCCGGAACCCAUAACUUUUUGGAUUAGGAACCUAGUCAAUUGCUUUAUUUUCUUUCCGUAACUAUUGAGAUUCAUAUUUAAUACUUUUAUCUUUAGGGCAGAAGGCUUCAUCCGUAGAGUUAACCGAUCCAGAAAACAUAUGUGAAGUGUGUAUGGAUUCUCAUUUCAGUUUAAGGAAGGAUUAAAAAGUGCGUGCCAUUUGACAUGCGUAGUAAUAUUCAGCCUGCCUUUUACACUGACUAUGUUGUCAUUUGUCAGCAUGUGUCCCACUUGAAUAUAUCUCAUCAUUGUGUUAAUAUUUUAUCAUAAAAUUUGUUGUGGGGCGACUCAUUACGAGGCGGUGUUUACGGCUUUUAACUAUUACUAGACAUUUAUAUGAAUUUUCAGUUUUUAAUUAUUUAUUUUAUUAAAUGAUGUAUUUGUAAUAUUCGUUCAUAUUAUAUUCAUUAAGUAAAUAUUUUUUUUUGCAUUUUAAAUUAUCUAUUUUUUACGAAUGUAUGAUAUCAUAAAAAAAUAUAAAAAUAAAAAUAAAAACCAUAAAUUUAGCAAAUGACAACUGAGUUAUAUUAUGCUAAAAUUUUCUUUCUAACAAUUUAUCAAAUGACAAAUGAGUUAUGAGCAAAUAAUACCAUAUAAUUUUUAAAAACAUAGCCAUUCUUAAAUAUUUUUUGAAUAAAUAAUUAUUUUUAAAUUUAAUCAACUGAAAAUAAUAUCCGUACAAUUGUGUGAGUCAAAUUCUAGUUUUAUUGAUGCAUGUUAUAUAUUAAUGCUGCAUGUUUUAGGUAACAUUUUAAUGAUGCACGUUUUUAAAUGACAUUAUGUCCAAAUUUAUUUAAGGAUAUUUCAUUAAGGUAACUGAAAAAGACAAACAAUAAAAUAGGAAGUUUAAAUUCAUUUAAGUAUAUUUCAUUAAUGUAACUGAAAAGACAAGUAAUAAAUUAGACAGUUUUAUUCGUUUUAGGAUAUUUCAUAAAUACAACUGAAAAAGACAAGCACAAAAAAAGAAAGUUUAACUAAUGAAGUAGAACAUUUUCAAAUGGGUACUUCUCUUUUAAUAAUAUAGAUUAGUAUUUAUCGAGUAAUAGUUUUUCUAUUAACUAUUAUAAAAUGGCCUUUUAACGUCAACAAAAAAAAACAUGCAAUGAAAAUUUUACGAUAAACAAUUUAAAAAGAAAAAAAGAAAAAAAGAGAAUGAUAAGAGUAUAUUUAAAUAUUCCUUUUACGUAUUAUCUGAAAAGUUUUUUUUUUUUUUUGAAAAAGGGAUUUCAUAAAAAGUUAAUUAAAUUAUAUUUAAAUACUAAAUUUUUAGAAAUAUUCUAAAAAUAUUGACAAGAUGGAGCUGAUAUAUCAAAUUCGAUUGGAUCAAGAGAGAGAGAAAACUGAGAGACGAAGUUAUUUCUUUCUACUUUUUCUGUUUUGCAUGCUUUGAAAAUCGAUAUCUUCUAAUUAAGGCAAAGGUGAUGCUGGUGCAAGUUGCCAACUUGAUGAUUUUUUGCAACUUGCCAACUUGGUUAUCAAACGCCGACAAAAUUAAUGGAAAUAAGUUUUAUAUUUUCCACUGAAAUGUUAAAAUCCAUCGACAAAUAUUACUCACUCGGUUCCGUUCCUGUAAGAUUUUCUAAAGUAUUCACGCUUAUUAAGAAUUCAAUAAAUGUACAAUUUAAUUUUUUUUUUACUUUAUUAUACAGUUUUCAAAAACUUUUCACCAAUGAAAUUUAAUCAAUUCAAAUAUUUUUGUUUCUUAAAAGUAUAAAAAAAUAUCUUAAACAUAUAGAAAAUCUAUCUUUGUAGAACAAGUAAAAAAUCUAAAACAUCUUACUUUCGGGAACGGAGAUAGUAUGAUUUUCACAAAGAAAAACAAAGGGAAAACAAUUGCAUGUACUUUCGAUCUUGACGUUCACGAUAGUCAGCCAAUCUGAAGAUCGAUAUGUUUUAGCACUCACCAACUUUAAUGAUUAUCGUUAUGUCAAAUCUUUCUCAUCUCCUUACUUGUGAAGAGAUCUAACACUGUAAUUCUUAAAUCAAAUUGUACGCUGUGAUACUAUUUUAGGGGAAGCCGUAAUAUUGAAUAAAAUCGGAUAUAUUAUAAAUAAUUUAGUUGGUUUGGUUUUGAUUAAUUAAAACUUUAGUAAAUAUUGCAUCAACGUAAAUUUUUUUCCGUCACAACAUAUUUGUAUUAGGUGGGUACAAUCCACAAUGACGGAACUAGCAAAAUCCAUUUAACUACAUAAUCUAAUUAUUUUAGCAUUUUUAUAUAAUCAAUUUUUAUAAUUGCUAUUUAAAUAUUUGGUGAUGAAAUGUGAUAUUCUUUUAUAUGAAAAGCUAAAACUAAAUACCUUCUUAUUAUAAGCUCAAAUUUUAGAAGAACCAGAUUGGCUCAUAUGAUAAAUUUGUACUUAACUGUAAAUUGAGAAUAAACAAAAUUAAUAUUUUUCAACACCUUCGUAUUAUCUAAUACAAAAAAAAUGCAAACUGAAAGAUUAAUGGGUGAGGCCUGAACGCUAAAAAGCCCAAUCCUCAGGCAGUUUCGGCCUUUGGGGAUUCGAUUUAAAAAGUGAGAGAAAAAUUUAUUCACACAGAAAACCAUGCAAAUAUUUCAGAAAAGUAUUACUCAUUCUAUUUUAAUUCAGUUCGGUUCAGUAGCAUAUUCGAUCGUCUUGGGGACAUAAUAAGACAAAAGCCAUGUGUACGUACAAUUAUGGCAGGAUACGACUGAUAACUGCAUUGUUAUUUAUAGUAACUACUAUAAAAGGUGUAUUUAAUCAGUCCAAUACAAGAAAGCCCAAAAACAAGCAAUUUUGUUUCACACAACUUAAAGCUCUAUAGAUCUUCAAAACAUUUUACCUGGGUCUUGUGGAUGUUUUACACAACCUCACAAAUCAUCUUCAACCUCAUAAAAGAGAACUCUGGAGUGACUAUAGUCUAUACUAGUAUGUACAAACAAUAACUCGUCACGUUCGUUCUUGUCUUUAUUUUUAUUUUGGCAAUAAUAUCCCCAAGAAAAUGACCGGAUUCUUUUUGUUGCGCAUGCUUUCGUCUUCUUCUUCUUCUUCUUCUUCUUCUUCUUCUUCUUCUUCUUCACCUCUAUUGCACGUUCUCUCAAUCUUCUUUACUCACUCCCACACACGUUUUUGAGUAUUAUUGCUUAAAAGAAAACAAAAACAAUAAUACAUUUUGCAGAACAAUCUCUUUAAUAUUCGACCACACAUGUCUCAGCAUUUUUUGUAUGAUUAAACUUUAUCCUUGACAUCCUUCCAGAAAUAAACCCAUCUACCCUCUCUUUAAUAAUUGACCACACAUGUCAGAGUUAUACCUCUUAUUUUUAUUCUCUAUAUUGAAACAACUAAUAUUAAACAGAUUUUCAUAUUAUAUAAUUUUGCGUUUUUUUUGUUUUAAAGUAAAAAAUAAGUGAAAAAUGUAAAAUAAUAAUAAUAAACUAAAAAUACAACCUAGUUCACCCAAACCGGAAAUUUAAAACCAGAAAUCGAUUUAUCAAACAUAAACAAUAUGUCUUUUAUAUAAUAUCAUAUAUAUAUAUAUAUAAUAUAAUCACAUUAAACACAAUAUCAAGUUAACUGCAUAGCAAUAUUAGUCAAUGUUAUCAUAAAUAUUUCACUGUUGUCAAUCAUAAUUUUAAUAAAAAAAUUGUUAAUACACAUAAUUUCAUAUUUUAAAAAUAAUUACUAUUUAACAACACUUAAUUCAAUAUAUUAUUAAUGUAUUUUUUAUAUUAAGAAUAAAAUUCUUACAAAUAUUAUUAUUAUCAAUAUAACUAUAAAUCACAUUUACAUAUAAAUACUUACAAAUUCUUAAUAUGAGAAAACUAAAUAAAAUUAUGCCCACUAAAACUAUAUCUUUUAAACGGUUGAUUGGAUGCAGGGCCGUCUAAUAGCACAUGCGGUCGAAUAGGGUCCGAAUAUAAAAAUAAAAGUUUUAAAAAAAUUUAAACAAUAUAUACAUAAAUUAUAGUCUAAAACUUCAAAAUUUAAAUACAGUACUGGCUAAUUUAAAGUUUAUAAUUUAUAAAAAAAACAUUAAACAUAUAUAAAUAGAACUAUUAAUUUCUAAAGCUAUUUCAUUAUGCUUUAAAUAUAUCGUUAAUAUUUUUGAACAGGGUCCAAAAAAAUAAUUGAGACGGCCCUGAUUGGAUGGCUUGCCUUAUGGUCGACCUUCACUCUAAAAUGUGACCAAGAAAACACAAGAGUCUGCAUAAAAUAGACACUGGAUUAAUUUGACUUCGGUUCGAAAUCACAUCCCAGUUAUAUGAUCUAAUAGAAUGAUCCCUAUCAUACAUACACAUCCACACUAGUUUCAGGUCCUAAUGAGAGGUGUGAUUGGUAUAUUAUUUCCCACCAAAUAAGAUGCCUCUUUUAAUACAUACUUCCAAAAGAAUUGUAUGUGGCUGAGGUGGAUUCAUAAACCAACCACAACAACAAUAAAACUGACUUGAAAGUGAAUAGUCAGAAACUUGAAUCCCAUUUUGAUUUUAUUCAUUACAAAAAGAAGCCUUAUUUCAUUACAUAAUAUGUACAUACGCAAAUACAUGCACCAAACAAACCAAAGACAACUUAAUCUGAUGAAAACAUUAAAACCCAAACUAGUCAUAUCUAUUGAUUACCAUCAAACUACUAAACUUAAAAACUUCUCUAACAAAGCAUCAAUAACAAGUUGGGUGCUCUGCUGCAAAAUUACCCUUACACAAUACAGUUUACACUACAAUCACAUGAGAUUUUUACUGGUUCAUACUAUGAUCCUUGCUUUUGCAUUAUUUCUCCGGUUGCUAACGUUUCUUUCAUAUCCCUUCUCAAACUCUCUCCAUUAGAGCAGCCUUGAGCUGAUCCUGCGUGAAAAACUGAUUCCCCAUCUUCACAGUCGCUUGUUGGAUCAUGAACUCAUUCACUACCGAUAAACUCGCGUGAUUCACUUCCAAUUCCAGUUCCUUGAGUGCUUCCAUGAACUUAGCACCAGGAUGAUUAUUCUUACCGCAUUGGAUCCUAAUCAUCGCAUCCCAACCAAUGAUCUUCACAUCUAUCUCCACCUCUAUGGACACACCUGAAUCUUGAUCCAAACACUUUUGAUCUUUAACCGAACUUUUCACAUUCCCAUCCCCCACCUCUUUGCUCAUCCCACCAAUCUGCUUCUGCAACUCCUCUUUAUCAGCUUCAGCCUUUUGCAGCUUAGCUUUAAGCUCAUUGAUAUACGAGAUCGCGUCUCCUAGAAGAGAAGCUUUAUCCAUCUUAGAGACAUUAGGAACCACAGCUCUCAGAGAGUAGAAUCUCUGGUUCAGCUUCUCUCUUCUCUGUCUCUCUGCCUCCACGUGAUUCAACGGCUCCUCUCUUCCGUUAGCCGGUUUCCUCCCUCGUUUCCUCGGUUUCUUCUCCGGUUCAGCCACGAUUCUACCACUCUCCGCUUCUUUAACAACCGAAGCUUCGAGAUCAGAGCGAUUCGAGUCGUUGGAUUUCGUAGGCAGGGGAAGAACAGAAGUGAAAGACAGCAUCUCUUCUUCCUUGUCGGAAACCAAACAUCUCUUCUUCUUGUUGCUGUCUCCCUCCACAAACCCAGAACUCGAGAUUUGCGGGUUCUGCUGCUGCUUAGGGUGUUCCACUGAGCUUCCAUUACAAAGCUUCGAAGCCGUCUGAGAAUCAGAGUUAGAAGUCGCCGGAGCCCCAAGAACCGGUUCGAUCCCGGUUACAUUCGGUUCAUUAAUCCACGUGGCGGGAUCAUUCUCUCCUUGAUCCGGGUUCAAAUUAAACUCCCAAGAACCCGACUCGCCUCCACCACCGCCACCGUUGAAACUGAAAAAGCUGUUGACUUUCUCAACGAGAUCCGAGCUCUGAUGUAUAAUCUCCAACGAACCAAGCUCAACGACGCCGUUUUGCGUCGGUAUGCAAACCAUCGUCUCCAACCCGUAAACCUGACCCUGGCGAGCUCUCUCGCAGCUCGAUCCAGCCAAGGCGUUUGAGCCAGAGAGCCAAAUGGUCCGCGAGCUCGAGAAAGCUCGGCCGGGCAAACCAGAGCCGUUGACUGACGGGAUUGGGCUUCCUCUUCCUCGACUUCCUCUCCUCCUCGCCUUUGUAGUAGCCAUCGCCCCAGCUUAGCAGCGCCGCCGUGUUGCUGAUGUCUUCUCCGGCGAAGUCGUGGGAUAGUUGCCAGAACACGGCGUACGUCCAGCUUUCUCUAGCUCCUUCGAUCAAUGCUUGGAGUCGUUGCUGGAGAGUGUCUUCGGUGACGUGAGGAGGAGGAAGAGUGAGAGGGGGUUGAUGCCAGAGAGAAGAGUGUUCGGAGCCGAUGAGAGGUUCCAUUACAGACGCAUUGUCUUCGGUUGUUGACCAGAGGUUUGUGCCGUUUGUUGACUGGUUGAGGUGGUGGUCGGUUAGUUGAACAUUUGUCGAAGACAUAGCCUUCUCCGGUGGACUUAAAGAGAGAGAGAGAGAGAGAGAAGUAGCUUAGUGGUGUUUCUUUCUUUGAUUGUUGGGGAAAUAAGUUUCGGUAUAUAUUUUAAAAAAAUAUUGUAAAUAAUAUGUUGAUGAAAUGGAAAUAAAAAUGUUUGCUUAAAAGUUUAUAUUGAUCAAUCAGUAUUUUUUAAAAAAUCUUGUCAAUAAUAUGUUUAUUUUCAGCGGAAAGAUUAUAUUUGACAUGAUUGGUUAUUUAUUUUUAACAAACGUAAAUGAAUGUUUUAUUCCAUUAACCUUUUUUUUUUGUCGGCACUUGAAACCAUUUACACUGUAUGUUUAUUAUAUUUAGUCUAGACGAAUUUAUGAGUUAAUUUUCAUGGUGUACUAUAUAUCAUACUUUGUAAAUGGAAGACACAACUGAAUGAAAAUAUCAUCACUGGAUCGUAGUUUAGUCUUUUUUUUUUUAAGAAAAAUCAAGAUUAGUUGUGACUAUUAUUUUUAUAAAAUCAUUUUAUUUAGCUAUUAAGAAAAACUAAAUAAGUGUUACAAAUAAUAUAGCCAACAUUUUUAAAAUAUAUAUAUAUAUAAAUUCAUUAUGAAUGCAAAAAAUUAUUGAUCUUAUCUAUUUAUUAAUUAUUUUUUGGUUUAUAUAGACAUAAUUUGAUUUGGAACAAACUUUAAAUUAGUUCGGCUUAUAGUUGAAUAGCAAAAAGAUAGACUUGUUUCGCCAACAUAUUUCAAAUUAGAUUGAUUUUAUGUGCAAAAAUACAACACAUUACUUGUAGAUAUCCACACACAUAUAUAUAUAUUACUGCUCAUUUACAUAUAGAUUAUACAUCAUCUAUGAAUUAAUGUAAUCUCUUUCAUAUACUUAAAUUUUACCAUAAAUCAUAAACAAAAUUUAAAUAACUAAGGUUUGUUCAUUCAAAUAAAUUGUUGAUAUCUUAAUUUGAUUUCUAUUUUUGAAUUUUUAACUUCCAUUUAAGAAAAUAUUAUCAUUUCAGGUGUAUUAAAAAUUCAGUGAACAUGUACAAAUCCAAAAAAUCGAUUGGACCUAAAAUUAUUUUACAAUAAUUAUUUUACUUUUCUCAUUCUUUAUUGAUGUUUCACUUAAAAUAAUAGUGAAAAUCAUUCUCAUUAAAAAGAUAAUUAUUAUAAGUGAAAAAACAUUCUUAUUUUUUAUUAAUCUUUAAUUAUAACGAUUAAAAAAAGAAAAGACAAAGACAAUAUAAAAUCUCUUUUUAAUUUAUUAAAAUUUGUUUUAUAGUAAAAUAGAAGUAAGUGGUGAAAUAGAAGUAAAAAAAAAGUAAAAUAAAGUAAGUGAAUAAUAUUUGUAAAAUCAUUCUCAUUCUUUAUUGAUUUUAAAUUAUCACGACAUAUUUUUUUGGAACACACAUGACAUAUUGUAAAAUCGUGAUAAUUAAAAACCAAUAAGAAAUGACAAUGAUUUUUCACCUAAAAUAGUUAUCUUUGUCCAUGUCUGCUUUUCUUUGUGAAUUGCGAGUGUGACUAAUCCUUGCCAGCAAAUAUCAACUUAGGGCCUGACUGGUUUCUCCGGUACCACCCGCAAACGCAGCUUUUGCGGUUGGUAGAGGUUGACGGCGUUUGGAAACAAUCAUACAAAUCGCUACAAAUCACUUUAAACCGUUCUGAACUUUUUAAAAUCAAAAGCUGGUUCCAACUAGCGUUUGCGGUUGCGGGAGGACAAUUUUUUUUUUUUUUUCAAAAACCAUAUAAAUACAAAAAUAAAAAUAUUCAAUAAAAAAUUUAAACUGGAAUUAUAAAAUACUAAAAUAUAUAUAUUAUAUUUUAAUUAAUAUUAUAAAAUUUUAAAAUACAAAUAUUUUCUAUAAUUUUUAAAAAUUUAAAACUAUAACUUUCUAAAUAUGAUUUUCGUAUUUAUUAUAAUAAUAUUAUGAUUUUUGAUAUUUUUAUAAUUAUAUAAAAUGUAAAUAUUGUUAAUUUAUUAUUUAACCGCUGUUGUAUUUGAUAGUUAACCAGUCAUAAGUAUCCCGCAAACGCACCAAUUUUUAACCGCAUAACCAGUCAUACAAAUCUCUUAAAACCGCUAGAAACCGCAACCACCCGCAUCCGCAAACUCCCGCAACCGCUGCGUUUGAACCAGUCAGACCCUUAAUUACACAACAAGUGAGUUGUUAAAUUAGUUGGUUCUCGGAGGAAAAGCUGCUUCUUUGAAGAAAAAUAUAGUUAGAUGAUAGAUUAAUCACCAAAAAAAAAAUAUAAUUAAACGGUGAAUGUUGUAACCCGAGAACUCACAAUUAUUAGCUCUGAGAUUUGGAUACAACUUUUAAGCUUUCUGAGAUCUGAACAUAUUUUUUUACGUCGUUAUCCGACACAACUUUUUGCAUGAUAAAAAGCAUGGACAAUUUCGAAAUAUAAAGGUGAAAAAGACUUGAGAGCAUAAAGGCAAAUAAAAGGUCUAGUAUUAUUUAAACUAGGGGCAUUGUGGACAGAGUUCUUGUUUCAUCUCAAUACUUGCUAGGGUUAUUGUAGUCGUGAAUUUUGCGUUUUGAGUUGUUUUUCAAUUUUUUUAAUUGUUAUAGGGUUAGAGUUGUGAUGAUGAACUGUGUGUGCAUUGUUCUCUACUUAUGAAGGACUAAAUUGUGUUAAUAUGUAAUUGAUAUAGUUCGUGGUGUUGUUUGCUAUGUCACUGGGACUUAUUGUUUGUUUGUCUUUAAUUUUGUUUCUUGUACUGUUGAGAGUACAUAAAUUAUAUUAAAAUUGUUGAGAGUACAUUUUGUUUCUAAAUAUUUUUUCUCCAGUUUAGUUGUGUAAGUUGUGUGUAAGUAAUAACUUUUAUUAUCCUUAUUAUGUUUGUUAUAUGUUUUUAUUUUAUUUUUAAACUUGUUGCUCUUACCGGACCUUUAAAACAAAUACAUGAAGACUUGUAGAAAUAACUAUAAAAUGAGUGACAGUUCUGAGUAUUUAGGCCUUAAUGGGUUUUAAACGAAUUUAUGCAUUUCUCAUAAGAAGACAAUAGCAUUGGCAUGUUGAUAUUGGGCAUGUAAGCUAUUUUUAUAAGACAAGAGUAGGGAGCAGGUGGAGAUGUUGUUGCUGCCUUUAUGUCUGUUAGGAUUGUCUCUUGUAUCUCCUCGUGUAGAUGUGUUUGUUUAUCUUUUAUUUGACGGGUAAUAUGUAAACAAAAAUCAUUGUUAGCAGUAUUUAUCAGAGUUCGUAAUUUCUUUGUUUUUUUGUUUAGGUAAUUUUACUGAUUUUGGUUGUCGUCUUCGUCUUCUUCGUUGCGAAAGUAAGUUUGUAAAUUGUUAAAUAGCUNNNNNNNNNNNNNNNNNNNNNNNNNNNNNNNNNNNNNNNNNNNNNNNNNNNNNNNNNNNNNNNNNNNNNNNNNNNNNNNNNNNNNNNNNNNNNNNNNNNNNNNNNNNNNNNNNNNNNNNNNNNNNNNNNNNNNNNNNNNNNNNNNNNNNNNNNNNNNNNNNNNNNNNNNNNNNNNNNNNNNNNNNNNNNNNNNNNNNNNNNNNNNNNNNNNNNNNNNNNNNNNNNNNNNNNNNNNNNNNNNNNNNNNNNNNNNNNNNNNNNNNNNNNNNNNNNNNNNNNNNNNNNNNNNNNNNNNNNNNNNNNNNNNNNNNNNNNNNNNNNNNNNNNNNNNNNNNNAUAUAAAUACAAAAAUAAAAAUAUUCAAUAAAAAAUUUAAACUGGAAUUAUAAAAUACUAAAAUAUAUAUAUUAUAUUUUAAUUAAUAUUAUAAAAUUUUAAAAUACAAAUAUUUUCUAUAAUUUUUAAAAAUUUAAAACUAUAACUUUCUAAAUAUGAUUUUCGUAUUUAUUAUAAUAAUAUUAUGAUUUUUGAUAUUUUUAUAAUUAUAUAAAAUGUAAAUAUUGUUAAUUUAUUAUUUAACCGCUGUUGUAUUUGAUAGUUAACCAGUCAUAAGUAUCCCGCAAACGCACCAAUUUUUAACCGCAUAACCAGUCAUACAAAUCUCUUAAAACCGCUAGAAACCGCAACCACCCGCAUCCGCAAACUCCCGCAACCGCUGCGUUUGAACCAGUCAGACCCUUAAUUACACAACAAGUGAGUUGUUAAAUUAGUUGGUUCUCGGAGGAAAAGCUGCUUCUUUGAAGAAAAAUAUAGUUAGAUGAUAGAUUAAUCACCAAAAAAAAAAUAUAAUUAAACGGUGAAUGUUGUAACCCGAGAACUCACAAUUAUUAGCUCUGAGAUUUGGAUACAACUUUUAAGCUUUCUGAGAUCUGAACAUAUUUUUUUACGUCGUUAUCCGACACAACUUUUUGCAUGAUAAAAAGCAUGGACAAUUUCGAAAUAUAAAGGUGAAAAAGACUUGAGAGCAUAAAGGCAAAUAAAAGGUCUAGUAUUAUUUAAACUAGGGGCAUUGUGGACAGAGUUCUUGUUUCAUCUCAAUACUUGCUAGGGUUAUUGUAGUCGUGAAUUUUGCGUUUUGAGUUGUUUUUCAAUUUUUUUAAUUGUUAUAGGGUUAGAGUUGUGAUGAUGAACUGUGUGUGCAUUGUUCUCUACUUAUGAAGGACUAAAUUGUGUUAAUAUGUAAUUGAUAUAGUUCGUGGUGUUGUUUGCUAUGUCACUGGGACUUAUUGUUUGUUUGUCUUUAAUUUUGUUUCUUGUACUGUUGAGAGUACAUAAAUUAUAUUAAAAUUGUUGAGAGUACAUUUUGUUUCUAAAUAUUUUUUCUCCAGUUUAGUUGUGUAAGUUGUGUGUAAGUAAUAACUUUUAUUAUCCUUAUUAUGUUUGUUAUAUGUUUUUAUUUUAUUUUUAAACUUGUUGCUCUUACCGGACCUUUAAAACAAAUACAUGAAGACUUGUAGAAAUAACUAUAAAAUGAGUGACAGUUCUGAGUAUUUAGGUAAUGAGUUUUAAACGAAUAUAUGUAUUUCUCAUAAGUGAGUUAUAUUAUGCUAAAAUUUUCUUUCUAACAAUUUAUCAAAUGACAAAUGAGUUAUAAGCAAAUAAUACCAUAUAAUUUUUAAAAACAUAGACAUUCUUAAAUAUUUUUUGAAUAAAUAAUUAUUUUUAAAUUUAAUCAACUGAAAAUAAUAUCCGUACAAUUGUGUGAGUCAAAUUCUAGUUUUAUUGAUGCAUGUUAUAUAUUAAUGCUGCAUGUUUUAGGUAACAUUUUAAUGAUGCACGUUUUUAAAUGACAUUAUGUCCAAAUUUAUUUAAGGAUAUUUCAUUAAGGUAACUGAAAAAGACAAACAAUAAAAUAGGAAGUUUAAAUUCAUUUAAGUAUAUUUCAUUAAUGUAACUGAAAAGACAAGUAAUAAAUUAGACAGUUUUAUUCGUUUUAGGAUAUUUCAUAAAUACAACUGAAAAAGACAAGCACAAAAAAAGAAAGUUUAACUAAUGAAGUAGAACAUUUUCAAAUGGGUACUUCUCUUUUAAUAAUAUCAGGGAAUCCCAUAAGCGAGGAGGUUAGAGGCUAUGCUCUAACUACUACGACCAAGACGGAGAGACUCGAAGGUUGAGUAACGGACGGCGGGGAUGCCGAUUUGAGGAACUGGAGAGGCAGAAAGAGACAUUUUCUAGAAGCUGGUUAAAGCUAAGAAGAAUCAAUGAGUUUUAUGGAGAUGCAAAUUGGGUUCAUCAAAGAUGAGAAUCAUAUAUAUAGGGUUUCGAGAAGGACUACUAAUCAGGAACAUUUAUGAUCAAGCGAUUUAAGAUGGGGAGAUGAAGAGUUCACCGGUGAAAAAAUAGAUUACGAACAGACACACGCCGCAACUCUGUAACUCAGACUUGUCUAAGACAAUGAUGAAAAGAACCCUAACUCAUGUUAAACAAAGACAGUUUACAAUAUGGAAAAACUAUAAUUGUUUUUUUUUCCUAUAACGUGAUGAAUCUCAUUUAAAAAUGAAACUCAUAAUACACUUGUAGGCCCGACCCACAGAAAAAACCGAAGAAGCAAAGAUUUUCGACCUUCAUAAAUAUAUAUUAGUUUCGGCCAUUAAUGUAUAAAGUAUCAUUUAUUUUAAUGGUAUAAAUGGUGGUGUUUAUAUCUCAAUAACCCGGGUUCGAACCAUGUGCUUGACACUUUUUUUACUCUUGUUAAAAGUGGGGUCCACGAAACGCUGACGUGGCGCGCUGAGGAGAGGGUAAAAACUCAAUCAUUAUAAAAAGAUUAACUAAAAAUAUCACAUUAUACGUUCUUUUUUUUGGGCAAACACAUUAUAUUCUACGUUCUAUUAUUUGUCGGGUCUCUUGUCUCUUUUUUGAUUGGCCAAAUGAAAUCUUGCUUUGUUUUUCAGUGAGAACAAAUGCCAAAAAUGUUGGGCUCUCUCUGCGUAUAUCCGACGAAACCUUGGUGUCUGUUGUACAGUGACGUUUUUUGGAAUCGCACUAAAGUACACAAAAUCAAAUUUAGAUUAGCUUAGUUUUAUUGGGCCUAUCACUUUUCGGCUCACUAAGUUUGGGCCGCUACUUUUUCUUUCUCAAACUAGAUUUCGCAUAUCAAGACUUUCUUAAUGGAAUAGUGGUGUACCAUGGAGUAGGUGUGUUUCUCAACCGAAACUGUACUCCAUUGGGGCUCAAAGUGAUGUUGCUUCACGCUGGAUAUUGGCUUCAAUAAGUGUGAUAGUGUAAUCAAUUGGUUUAUUGAUUUGCACAGAAAUGGGAACUGUGAAAGAGAGCUUAUGUAUGCAGUAUGACUCGACUAUGUGAAUACGAAGGAUAUAGAUUGUUGUAUUCGGUGAAAUAGAAGAGUGUACUGUAAACUCCAAUGGAAACAGUGAAGAGAGGCUAGUUUGAUAACCUGUUGGGAUAGUAGAGAUUAAUGAAAAAUAUAUAUGUGUGUGUGUGUAUAAUAGAUCUUAACCAAUAUAUAAAAUAGAAACUAGUUUGGAGUUUGAAGUUCAUGAAAUGUAACAAAAUUUUGACCCUUCCAUUUAUAAUUCUUUUAAUAUACUUAAUUAAAAAAAUGUGGACUUGAGAUGAUUAAAAAGAAUAAUAAAAGGGGUUGGUUGGUCAGUUACCAUCCAUGUUGCUUUUGGGAACGGAACUACGCACAGCGUCUCGUUUCACAACAACAGCACCAAGCUUUAUGCCAUUUCGUAACUGGUAGAGUCUAGUGAGGGUAGUAUCGUCAGAUCAAAAUGUUUCCAUCAAAUGUGACUCGUCUCAUCAAAUUUGAUCUGAAGAAGACGAAAGAGGAAGCUUAAAAAAAAACAAUAUUUAGAUUUCGAAAACUCGUUAAUGGCUUCUUCCGACAAUCUCACCGACAAGAACAUUGUAUUCAGAAAACUGAAAUCCAAAUCUGAGAACAAGGUUCGGUUUCUCUCUCUCCCAUCUGAUGGAUCGCGAAUGUUGUAGAUCUGGGAGUUGGUUGUUUGAGUAGAUCUUUGGAUUUGUGUGUGUGUGUAGGUAUGCUUCGAUUGCAGUGCGAAGAAUCCGACAUGGGCAUCUGUCACAUACGGUGUUUUCCUCUGCAUCGAUUGCUCAGCUACUCAUCGCAGUCUCGGUGUUCAUAUCAGCUUCGUCAGGUUUCCAUUUCUAUUCUUCACCAUUUGAUGCCUUUGAUAGGUUUAGAUAGGCAUGGACAUUCCGGUCGAGUCAUUUCUGGUCCAAAUUCUCCGGGUCUUAGACAUUUGGACCUAACUAGUUCUUUAAACAAGUUUGGUCGGCUAUUUUUGAGUCGGUUCCGGUUCAAAAUGUUGGGGUCCAAACCCAGCAUAGCCGGUUUUGGGCAAAGCGGAAUGAAUCAUUUUUUGAAGAAAAUUACACACACAUAGGCUCCCAAAUUUAUAUAAAAAAAUAAUUAAAAUCUUUAUUAAAUCGUUUACAGCCUUCAAAAUCUCAAGGCAUGCUCUGAUGUCCAAGCUUAGAUUUAGAGCUCUGAAAAUUGUAGCAUGAGGUUGAACAAAUGCAAGAUGAGAGUUUUGACCUUUAUUCGAAUGAGACUGACCAUAUACUAUAUAACCUCUUUCUUGUAUUUAAUUGGGUCAUGCCACAUUACGUUUAUCAAGAUGUUUCAUUAUGGUGUAGAUCGACGAAUUUGGAUUCGUGGAGCCCUGAGCAGCUCAGGACUAUGAUGUUCGGUGGCAACAACCGCGCUCAAGUCUUCUUCAAGCAGCAUGGAUGGACCGACGGUGGCAAAAUCGAGGCUAAGUACACUUCGAGAGCUGCUGAUUUGUAUCGCCAGAUUCUUGCUAAAGAAGUUGCCAAAGCCAUUUCACAAGAAGAUACUGCUAAUAACGCUCUACCUGAAUCUCCCGUUGCUGCGGAAGCAUCUAAUGGGCUUUCUUCUUGUUCCGUCGAGGAACAUGAAGCAACCUCUUCGCCUAAAGCUUCUAAUACAGCUGUGCCUAGUACGUUUAAGAAACCCAUUGGUGCUAAAAGAAUGGGCAAAACUGGUGGUCUUGGUGCUAGGAAACUUACUACUAAGGUUAGUCCUCAGGUUCAGGUUUAUGUUCUCUUUGCUCUGAUUGAAAGAUCUGAUUUUUUUAUGCAGCCAACGGGAAAUCUCUAUGAGCAGAAACCAGAAGAAGUUGCACCCGUUAUUCCUCCUGCUGCGUCUUUAACUAAUAACGGUGGAAGCAAAUCAUCAGCUGGUUCAUCAUCAUCAUAUGCGUCUCGAUUUGAGUACAAUGACGACUUUCAAUCUGGAGGACAAAGCGUUGGUGGAACUCAAGUGCUUAGCCAUGUUGCUCCACCAAAGUCUUCCAGCUUCUUUUCGGACUUUGGAAUGGACAGUUCUUACCCCAGGAAACCAAGCUCCAACUCCUCAAAAUCUCAAGUAAAGCCAUUGCUUUUCUCAGAAAGGAAAAAUAGUAUUAUUAUCCGUUUUCUAAACUUUUUUGUGUGUUCUUAACUAGGUUGAAGAGUCAGAUGAAGCAAGAAAGAAGUUUACAAACGCAAAGUCCAUCUCUUCUGCUCAGUACUUUGGUGAUCAGAACAAAAACGCUGAUCUUGAAUCAAAAGCUACUCUUCAGAAGUUUUCAGUGAGUAACGUUCCACGCAAGAAAACAUUCUCAUUCCUAUGAUUCUAAUGCCGUUGUGGGAUGUUGCAGGGCUCAGCAUCUAUAUCAAGCGCUGAUUUUUUCGGUCACGGCCAAGAUGAUUAUUCCAAUGUUGAUAUAACUGCUACUGAUCUCAUUAACCGGCUUUCUUUCCAGGUAAUAAAGAUCCUUACUUGCUAAAUCUCUGCUUCUUCUUCAGAUUUUUUAACCUGUUUGGGCUCUGGUAUCUUCUUGACACAGGCGCAACAAGAUAUCUCGUCGGUGAUGAACAUAGCAGGCGAAACGAAGAAGAAGCUUGGAACUUUUGCCUCUGGCAUCUUCAGUGAUCUUCAGGAUAGAAUGCUGUAAGAAGAAGACGAGGUCUCUCAUGGUUUAAUAUUUUUACAGAGAAAGAAAUGUCCGGGAAACUUCCAGUGAAGUAGACACGUUUCUCUGUUUUUGAAGAGCUCUUUGGAAUUGAGACGUGGCCUAUUGAUGUUAUCAUCACCCUAUAUGGAUACUAUUGGAUAUGUCAUCAAUAUACUUUUAUUAAUCUUUGUUUGUUUGCAGAAAAAGAUUUAAUUGUUAUGAUGAAGAUAUAUACAGCCGUGUUUUUGAAUGUUAAUCCUGAAAAUAGUUGAAAGAUUAUAUGGUUUUGCAAGAGAUUUUUGUUGGGAGUAAGACUCUUUUAGUCAUACUAGGGAUUUUGUCCGGGCGAAUUUAUACAAAUAUCUUUGCAUCUAAUGAUAUGUAUUAGACAUAUAUUACAUCUAUCUAAAAUAUCUAUGGGAUGGUGAACAAAAGUAAAAAUAAUUUAUUAAUUCAAUGUUAAAAAACUGAACCAAAUAAUGAUUCAAUAUUGUAAGAGCACCUCCAACAUGUGUAUGAGGAGGUGGAGUUUUUAAGAUUUUUAAUAUUAGAAAAAGGAAAAUAAGUUAAAAACUGAUCAAAAGUUUCUUAAUAAAAGACUUUUUAGAACCGUUCCUAAACUUUCUAUGCUUGUGUGUCUGUUUUCUAUUGGUGCAACUUUUGUUUUUAUAGUUUUAACUUUAGUUCUUCAAUGAAAUAGUAGUAAUGUAUUGUUUAGAUACGUGAUUUAGGAACUCAACCAUUAAAGUUGCUCUAGCUGGUUAGACCCAUCCAGAAAAAUAAAUUACAGAAUAACCAUAUAGCUUAAAAUAAUAAAUUUUAUCUCAAAAAUUGAAAACAUCAUCUAAAUUGUAACAAAAAAAUCUCUUAACAUCAAAUAUGUAUGACACAUGAAUAAUUUUCAGUUCAAAACUUCAAAUAUGAUAUGAGGGUUCAAGAAAAUACAUACACUUAUCCCUUAAAAAUUAGUUAAGUAAAUGUAUAUUUUUAGUUUGAUUUAUGAGUUUUUAAAAUCAAACAUUCACUUUAAUAUUGUUGUCAAAUUGAAUUUAGUUAUUAUAAUCAACAUUUGGAAUAGUAUAAAAUCGUCUUUAUUUAUAUAUCUAAUGUAAUCAUAUUGUACACAAUUAUAUUUUUAGAUCCCAAUGAAAACUUAUCUUGUUAUAUACAUAACGUAGCUGAAGUCAGCUUUGAGUAACUAAUGUUGAUUUGAAGUAAUAUUAUUCGGUCUAUCUAUUUGUAUUUAACUAAAUGCACCAGUAUGAUAAUAGCAUUUUGGUAACGAAAACAAAACAAAUCAAACUGAAUCCUUAGGGACACACAAACCGUAGAAACUUUCUUAAUCUUCUCAUUACAAAUACUUCUUUAGUUUUCUUCUUACAUUGUAGUCGCCACUUUCAAGUCUUGUCGCUUACUUAUUCUGUGGUGUUUGAAUCUUGUGACUUACUUCUUCUGUGGUGUUUUUGAAGACCUUCCUUUCAUCUUCAAUGCCUAGAGUCAAACAUAAAUACAUAUUAGUAUACAGUUUGACAACGAUUUUCUAGGUUGCCUAUGCGUCCACAUCUUUUUCACUUACCCAAAAUAAUGAUCAAAUACCUUAUCUACUCAACAGCUUGAACGAAGCAAAGAAUGAUAAUCGAAUUUAACAUCAGGUUCUACUGACAUUGUCCCCUCCAAAUUUGUUCAAUUCUCAAUAAUGUGUAAAUUAAGAAAAGAUUAAUGUGCUUGACCAAUAAAAAAGAUCAAAGUGCUCACACACGCGAUUCAAAAGUCGAAGAAAUAACCAUGAUUGUCUUCAUGCUCUACUGCUUGAGCUAUUACAGCCACCUCAUGUCAUAAAUCCAUUCUCAGCAGGCUUCUUUGAACCACCUUCAGAGCCAGACCGAUUGACCAAAUUGAGAUGAAUCAAAUUUGGGUAAAUUACUCUGGUUUACAGGAAAAGCUUUUUGCAGCCUUUUGUAUAUUCAGCAGUAGAAGAAGAAGCACUAUUAUCUCCAAAUGGUGCAGAAAUGUAGCCCUCGGAAACCAUGACCUUGUUGUCUCCUUAACUUUGUACAACUGACAUGUAACCCGAAUCUGGGAAAAACUACAUGUUUACAUAAUAAUAGAAUCAGUCGAAGCCAAGCAGAUAAAUAAGUGAGAGUUAAAAUUUAUUCAUGAAGGAUAAAAACUAUAUUUACGAUGAACUAAGCUUUUGAAAAGGAAACACAAAUGUAGACUCAUGAAGCAAACAUCAAUGGAAAGACUUACGAUGGCAAGUCGUAAAGGUACAUAUAUCUUUAUAGCUUUUAACAAAAGGAGAUGUAUCAUACGGAAGUAUAUAAAUAAUAAAUAUAUAUAUAUACUGAGUAUGUCCUUUCCCAUCCAAUCUAUCAAUGUAUCACUCAAAUCAGUACCUGCAGAAAUAUAAUCUUAAUUUCCAGAGAUGCAAACCAGGGAUUUAGAAUAACGAAGAUAAGACUGAAAAGAAAAUUUAUUCAUCCAAGUAUAUUAUGUUUCAAGGGCAUAAGUAGCUUAAAUAAGAAACCAACAAAAAGAUUGUGCCAGAUCAUAAAUAUUGACACAGAUGGAAAGUAAUCCCAUAAAUCACAAACCGCUCCAGUAUUAAGCCGCUCCUCACAAACUUGUGAAAACAAACAGAGUAAUGCAAUGUCUCUCAGAUGUGUGGAGUACCAGAGAAACUGGGUAGAAACUUGAUGAUAGAAAAAAAUGGUGAACUAUGACAUGAAAAGGUGACUGGAUUCUUACCUUCUCAACUAUCUGUUCCAUUUGAGCAGCCCUCAAAAUAACAUCCUCUAGGCACUCUUUAAAGGUUCCAACAGGGAAACAGGAGCAGCGAUAGUAAAAAAUACAUUACCACAAUCCGGAAGAUUAGCAUCAUCUCGAUGACACUCACUAAAGAACAAAGGAAAAAGUAGAUGGACUUCAAACCAUUUUAGAUGGGACAUACUUCUCUCGAGAGAAUGGGAAAACAAUAUUUGACUAAGCACCAUUUCUCUAGCCUCCCUAAAAAAAAGUUCCAAUCAUAAAAUAGAUUAGUUCCAAAAUUGUAAAAAUAUUAAACUAAUAGACAGCCACAAUGCAAACCUUUCAGCAUCAUCUGGUGAUCUCCGUUGAUUUACGUUCUGUUGAUUGACAUUCUUCCCCUGCUAGACAGGUUGGUUCACGAUGAGAUAAAAAUGUAACUUUUCCCAAUUAUAAAAAAACUGGCAUAAGUAAAGGUAAUAAAUAGUUACAGCGCCAUGUCGAGAUGCCAGCUCUAGAAAUUGUAUGUCUAAUAUCUUCUUGUUCAGAACCAGCCUACACAGAAGAAGUAGAAGAGGCAGAUCAAUAAAAGAUUAAUUUUGCAAAGAUCGUAACUCUCAAAUAAGAACUAUUUUUUGGCUUAACUUGGUACAAUGCUUUGAUUGCUGUAAACUUAUCUAUCAAAUGAAACAAAUGAUCAAGGACGUUGAUCCAAUUUUGAACCUGAUUGGGCUGUUUCUGUGGCUCAGCCGUCGUUACCAGUAUCGGGAUCCACGCGGCCGAGGGGUACGCUUUUGGUUGCAUCGCUAAUCCAUUGAUUUUUAAAAAAAGAAACGAAUUUGGGUGAAGAAUAAAAUUGAAUAUAUGAUUCAAGAAUGUUAUUUGAUGAGUAGGAGUGGGUGGUGAAUCUGGUGAUUAAUACACAAAACUGAAAUUGGUAGCGAGUCAAAUCGAUUCAAAUGAAGUGGAAGAGUCGGGACGACGGUGACAGGAUUUGAGUUCUUUUGGGCUCAUUAAUGAUGAGCCAUUUAACAUGUAGCCCACAUAAGUUACUCGACUCAUAGGAGUGACGUGGUGUUGGAGAACUUUAUGAUUGGCUGAUUAAAUUGGAGGAAGUUGACACCCUAGCUGAUGAGUAUAUCCUGCUUUUAGUACUGUGAUAUGACUGUGCUGCCAUGAUGUUUUAUUUAUCAAUCAUAUUCUCUGCGUCUCCAACAAGAAGUAAUUGGUCAUGGACCAAGCCAUACCUAAAUCUGGUUCUCCACCCAAAAAAACUAUAGCAUCUGGACACUGAAGAGGCAAUCCAGUCGGCUUUAUUGAUUGCUUGAUUAGCUAAGAACUUAUUCUAAGUGUGACAAAAGAAAGAUUCAUGAUGACUUUAACUAGACUAAAUCAGGCAUUAAUCUUUUCUGUUUUGUUCAUAGUAGCUAAUAAAAAGCUUUUGCUUGGGUUUUGUAAAAUAAAGAGGUUUAGAUUAUGUAAAUGUUAUUUUUGGUUCCAAUUUAAAGGCACCAUUAUACCAGAAAAUAGGAAGAACAAUUGAAUUUGUAUAAAGGGAAAUAAAGUAUUUUAAUUAUUAGGAAGAUAUACAGCAAUUGGUUCGUGAAAUGAAAGCCGAACCGGUUUGGUUCCACUCACUUUUACAAAACCAAUAAUUCACUUUGAAACGGUGUUUUUAAAACCGGACCGACCCGAUGGGUUCAACCAUGAACCGUUUACAUAGACGGGUUGGGUCUAAAAUUGGUUCGACCAUGAACCGAUCAAGUAGUCGGAUUGGAUCUCAAGAUUAUUAAACAGAUAAAAACCACUUAAGCUAUCAAAAAUCUAUAAACCAUCCAUUUAAACAUAAAACUAGUUUAUAUUUAUAUUGUUUUAUGUUUGAAAUUCAUUUAUACUUUAAUUAUGUAUCAUAUUUACUAACAUUACUUUUAGAUUUAUGUACUAAAAACAUAUUAAACGAGAUUAUUGAACCAGGUUUGACCCGGUCGAACCAUAUUGAACUGUGACCCAAAAAUUAUUCGGUUCAGCUUUCGGUCCGGUUUUAAAAACACUGCUUUGAAAUGAAUCAUAUGGCCAGCAUAUUUACAUAUUUGUAUAUAUCCUUGUUGUUACGAACAAACACAAAUCAAAGACCAGAAGAAAGCAAAUCGAUCAAAAUGUAUUGAGGCAAAUACUCAUUUAGAAUUUGUAUAUUAUUAGAAUGAAUAACUUAACAUUCCUUAGAUUCAUAUUUAUAAUAUCUUCAAAACCCGAUUUCCUUUCAAUUUAUCAAUACAUACUUAUCUAGAAUUUUUUUUUUCAUAAUCAUAAAAUGUACCGUACCUAGGCUUUUACUGGUGUACUGAAAUUUCAGACACAUCGAGAUGUAAUAGUCCCUUAUAGCAUGUAUAUACCUCUUCAUGUAAAUAAGAAUAUUUCGUUGUUUCUUAAAUUGCUGUAAUCCUUUUAAAAACAUACUAGAGAAUGAUCCGCGCACCCGCGCGAGUAUUAGUUCUUACAUUUUUAUACAUUGAUAUUUAUUUUUCAUAAUUAGAGUUAUAUUUUAGAUGAAUCAAAAUAUAACUAAUUGUAUUCAAAAGAUCUGAACCAAAUCGGAUAAGAUGGUUAUUUUUGGUAUAAAUAUCCGAACUCGUAUCAGAUACAUUUGUUAUUUAGAUUUUUUUAGGUUCAUAUACAUCAGAACCGAACUCAUCCAGACCCAAAAAGACCCAAUUCAAAAACUCAAACACAAA
This 32806-nucleotide long non-coding RNA is filed under the name Brassica napus (rape). Its description in RNAcentral is "long non-coding RNA (BNAP_LNC009317)". The record is from RNAcentral. Lineage: Eukaryota; Viridiplantae; Streptophyta; Magnoliopsida; Brassicales; Brassicaceae.